GACGAACGCUGGCGGCGUGCUUAACACAUGCAAGUCGAACGGAAAGGCCCUGCUUUUGUGGGGUGCUCGAGUGGCGAACGGGUGAGUAACACGUGAGUAACCUGCCCUUGACUUUGGGAUAACUUCAGGAAACUGGGGCUAAUACCGGAUAGGAGCUCCUGCUGCAUGGUGGGGGUUGGAAAGUUUCGGCGGUUGGGGAUGGACUCGCGGCUUAUCAGCUUGUUGGUGGGGUAGUGGCUUACCAAGGCUUUGACGGGUAGCCGGCCUGAGAGGGUGACCGGCCACAUUGGCACUGAGAUACGGCCCAGACUCCUACGGGAGGCAGCAGUGGGGAAUAUUGCACAAUGGGCGGAAGCCUGAUGCAGCAACGCCGCGUGCGGGAUGACGGCCUUCGGGUUGUAAACCGCUUUCGCCUGUGACGAGGCGUGAGUGACGGUAAUGGGUAAAGAAGCACCGGCUAACUACGUG
Molecule: ribosomal RNA, 468 nt
Filed under: uncultured bacterium
Lineage: Bacteria
Description: partial 16S ribosomal RNA
Rfam family: Bacterial small subunit ribosomal RNA
Source: RNAcentral